GAAGAUGGGCACGGAUGUUAGCUCAGGGACAGUCUUCUUCAGCAAAAAAAGAGGAGGAUUGGCAGUAGUUAGCUCAGGGCUAAUCUUCCUCAAAAAAAAAAAAAACAACUAAAAAAUGAGGUGAAGCCGUGGGUACGUUUAGCCGUGACAGGGACAACGCAAGCCGAGCCGGCCCCAAACACCAGCUGUCUCCCCCCAGAGUCCUGGUAAAACUCCUUGCAAGGAGGCGUGGGAGUCAGAAGAGGAGGGUGAAGACGCCACCUGCUGGGCCCUGCCUGAGGCUUAGCGCCGACUGUGUCUCGAAGGAUUAUGUCCUCUUCUUCCCCUCUGUGGCCAGCAGGAUUUUAAAAGCCCCCGAAUUCCUGCCCGCCCCCUGCCAAGGAACACACCCUGUCGACUAACCCCCGUGUGCGGACAGGACCUGUGAACACGGGCAGGGCCCACAGUGAAGUGAGAGGCUGGAGGUGUGAGGGGGCCUACGGAGGAGACCAAGCGGCCAGGACAAGACCGGAGAGCGGCCUUGUAAGGGUGGAGAGUGGUCCCCGGCCGACAGCUACCAAGACCACGGGGAACUUCAGUCCAAUGACCGCAAGGAACUGAAUUCUGCCAACGACGUGAGUGAGUUUGGAAGUGGCUCCUUCCCCAGUUGAGCCUCAGAUGAGAACGCAGCCCUGGCCAGCGCUCUGAGGGCAGUCCCAUGAGACCCAGCCACGCAGCGUCCACACUUCCGGCUUGCAGAACCAGGUGCUGAUAAACACCUGUGGCUUAAGCGGCUAGAUCUAUAGCGACUUGUUACGCACCAACAGCUAGCUGCUACGCCCUUCAUGUGACGGCAGGGCAGGGUGCCCUCGGGUUUCAUAGUCACUCUCAUAUUCAGCCACACACAAGGGGGUGCUCCCGUGGCCCAGGAAAUUCCAAGGGUUUGGGGAGCUGUGAGCCAGGAAGCGCGGAGGAAGGCCAAAAGAUGGAUUUAUUACAAACGACAAUGUCACACCUCCCAGAGGCCCCACCUCCGAUGACUAUCACACUGGGGGUUAGGUUGUAACGUUUGAACUUUGGGGGGACACCAGUGGAAAUCAGAAGCAAUUAGUGAUUCACUCUAUGGUGAUCAGAGACAAGUUCCCAACAUGCCAGCCACCAGUGGGCCCUGCCCUCAGGCCCCCGUCUGUCCCCCGACUCCUGAGCACACCCCACCUGGGCCCUCUUAACCCCCACCUCCCACCAUCCUGGUGGCCCCUGCAGGCAGAUGCAACAGCGUCAGCCUCCAGGGACCUGGCCCACGGGCGUUUGUUGACUGAAAGAAUGAAGCAGGGCGGAAGGGCGAGGAAGAGCCGAGGCCAUGGCCUCAACGCCCACUGGCUCAGUGGGAUCAGGCCGGGGUGUUGCAGGGACCACCCGAAUGAGCCCCCCCUUGGCCUCAUCACGGCCCCCCCACUUCCCCCCGCCCACCACUGUCUUGUCAUAUGUGACUGUCACCCCUGUGUGCUUUGAGUCAAAGGAGGCCCUCAGUUCAAUGACUCUCCGGAUGAGCGUCUACGUGCCUCACCCGCACGCAUCCUCAGGGAGGCUGACUGUGCGAGCGGUUGCCUAGCAACAAGCACGUGCCUGGGGAUGUGGUGGUCCAGGUGCCUCUAAUGCCGGCCGGGCUCUUCCCCUUCCAGCUGCCCCGCCCACGGACCCCCUGCUCCAGAGAUCUUGGAUGGGAACUUCUCUGGGCCUCGAUUUUCAAACCAGUAAAAUGAGGCGGUGUUAGCGCUAACCAAGCCGGGACAGGACGACCGAGCCCGCAGGGUCCGAAAGAGAGGGCUCGUGGAUCGGGACUCAGCAGAACAACUUGUCCAUGGAAAGAACUGAUAAUAACGUGGAUUUCAACACGCCCAGGACGCACUGAAGGCGGGCAACCCAGCAGGGGAAGGCGCAUGCCCCGAUUUCCAACGCUGGGGCUGGAGCUGGCCCCACACAAGGGCCACCCUCUCGAGAUAAAGGGCGCCGGGAGCGCUUUCCGCAGAAACGCUCAAGAGCCCCCGGGAGCUAUCAGAGAAGCACGCUCUGCCGCUCGGAGGUCACCGAGUUCUUCUGUGCUCAAGGCAGGGAGCCAGAGGGCUGGGCAAACGCUUCCCCAGGCCAGGGGCCCCCUCAGCACUGUGACCUCGGGGCCGGGUCAUCUCUGGGGGGCCGUCCUGGGGGAUGUGGGGGGUUGAGCAGCAUCCCUGGCCCCACCCACUCGAUGCCAGGAGCACCCCCAGUGUGACAACCACAGAUGUCCCCAGACAUCACUCAGUAUCCCCUGGGCGCAAGAUUGCCCUCAAUUAAGAAUCGUAGGUAUAGCCCAAUUUAUGCAAAAUAUUAUGAUUUCCACUUAUGGCCACAUUUCAGGCACCCAAGGGCCCCCUUAUAGAAAGGCACAGCUCUGGACACUGAGUUCAGCUCAACAGCGAUGUCACAUAUGAAAGGAAAGCUGAGACCAGGUGACUCGCAAGGUGAAAGGUCAGUGUCCUCCAGGGCAGGGCCUUAGAGGUGUCCUUCAGAAGCCCUUUGCACUGCAUGGCCACCAUGCUGUGGGGACACUCGCUAGCCACCCCAUGAGGCAGCAGUCACCCGGCUGUGGUCCCAGCCCCUCAGAGCUUCCGAGCCGAUGGGAAGAUGCACACAGGGGAAACCGAACCACGUCCAAAAACUGAGUGUGAGAGGAGCCAGCAAGCAGGGGGCCCACCUGGGUGGUCUCGCCCCCAGGGGACACUGGGCGAUGUCUGGGGACAUCUGUGAUUAUCACACUGGGGGAGCUCCUGGCAUCGAGUUGGUGGAGACCAGGGAUGCUGCUCAACCCCCUACAGGACCCAGGACGGCUCUGUCCCAGGGAAUGCCCAGCCCUGAUGUCAUAGAAGGUGAGACCCCACUACGGGUCCACAAUCUCACUAGAACGUUAGCUCCAUGAGAGCUGGGGUUUUGCUCAUCCUGGUGACUGCUGUGUCGCCAGAGCCUGGCCCAGGCAGACACUCGGAAGUCCUUGCUGAGGGAACAAGUGAAGUCUUUUUUUUUUUUUUUUUUUUUUUGGUGAGGAAGAUUGGCCCUGAGCUAACAUCUG
Molecule: long non-coding RNA, 3085 nt
Organism: Equus quagga
Lineage: Eukaryota; Metazoa; Chordata; Mammalia; Perissodactyla; Equidae
Exons: 3
Source: RefSeq, a predicted model, not a curated record